GGUCACGAUUGUCAGCGCCCCCGUGCGGGAUCCGUCCUGCUCACGGGGUCCAUCGGCCCCGGCCCGCUGGCAGGCAACCCUUCCACCGCGACGGGGUGCCCCGGGUGACGACCGGGUCCCGCCGGUGCGGCGGGGCAAGCGUGGUCC
RNAcentral lists this non-coding RNA (147 nucleotides) under Streptomyces sp. RNAcentral describes it as "SAM-IV sequence". It matches the Rfam family "SAM (S-adenosyl methionine) riboswitch aptamer". From Rfam's summary of the family: SAM-IV is a mRNA element that regulates gene expression via direct sensing of S-adenosylmethionine (SAM or AdoMet). The record is from RNAcentral. RNAcentral also lists the same sequence under 1 other name. Lineage: Bacteria; Bacillati; Actinomycetota; Actinomycetes; Kitasatosporales; Streptomycetaceae.